Molecule: ribosomal RNA, 253 nt
Filed under: uncultured bacterium
Lineage: Bacteria
Description: partial 16S ribosomal RNA
Rfam family: Bacterial small subunit ribosomal RNA
Source: RNAcentral
UACGUAGGUGACAAGCGUUAUCCGGAUUUAUUGGGCGUAAAGCGCACGCAGGCGGCUGAUUAAGUCUGACGUGAAAUCUCUCGGCUUAACCGGGAGCGGUCGUUGGAAACUAAUUGGCUUGAGGCGAUGAGAGGGGUGUGGAAUUCCCGGUGUAGUGGUGGAAUGCGUAGAUAUCAGGAGGAACACCAAUGGCGUAGGCAGCACUCUGGGACGUGACUGACGCUGAGACGCGAAAGCGUGGGGAGCAAACAGG